AUGAAGCCUGAGGCGGGAGACGCAAUUAUUACCUCGGGAGACGGAACGACGCCUGAUAGUAAUCAUUGCAUUGAAUGGAUCUGAACCCUCAGUGUUUCCUAUAUAUAUGGGGUCCCCCUCUUCACUAGUACUUUUCUGCUAUUGUUGUCAAGCUAUUGCUCUCGCAUUUAUUUCCUCCUCGCCCUACUCGUGAUCGCCCAGCGUCUUCUACUUUCAGUAAGUACUCUUCUCCCGAC
Molecule: long non-coding RNA, 236 nt
Filed under: Actinidia chinensis (golden kiwifruit)
Lineage: Eukaryota; Viridiplantae; Streptophyta; Magnoliopsida; Ericales; Actinidiaceae
Description: long non-coding RNA (ACHI_LNC002428)
Source: RNAcentral